Molecule: ribosomal RNA, 664 nt
Filed under: Ganoderma steyaertianum
Lineage: Eukaryota; Fungi; Basidiomycota; Agaricomycetes; Polyporales; Polyporaceae
Description: eukaryotic LSU rRNA
Source: RNAcentral
GAGUAAAAGUCGUAACAAGGUUUCCGUAGGUGAACCUGCGGAAGGAUCAUUAUCGAGUUUUGACUGGGUUGUAGCUGGCCUUCCGAGGCAUGUGCACGCCCUGCUCAUCCGCUCUACACCUGUGCACUUACUGUGGGCUUCAGAUCGUAAAACGGGUCCCUUUACCGGGCUUGCGGAGCGUGUCUGUGCCUGCGUUUAUCACAAACUCUAUAAAGUAUCAGAAUGUGUAUCGCGAUGUAACGCAUCUAUAUACAACUUUCAGCAAYGGAUCUCUUGGCUCUCGCAUCGAUGAAGAACGCAGCGAAAUGCGAUAAGUAAUGUGAAUUGCAGAAUUCAGUGAAUCAUCGAAUCUUUGAACGCACCUUGCGCUCCUUGGUAUUCCGAGGAGCAUGCCUGUUUGAGUGUCAUGAAAUCUUCAACCUACAAGCUUUUGUGGUUUGUAGGCUUGGACUUGGAGGCUUUGUCGGCCGCUCUUGGCCGGCUCCUCUUAAAUGCAUUAGCUUGGUUCCUUGCGGAUCGGCUCUCGGUGUGAUAAUAUCUACGCUGCGACCGUGAAGCGUUUGGCGAGCUUCUAACCGUCUCAGUUGGAGACAACUUUAUGACCUCUGACCUCAAAUCAGGUAGGACUACCCGCUGAACUUAAGCAUAUCAAUAAGCGGAGGAA